GUAAGGAAUAUUGGACAAUGGACGCAAGUCUGAUCCAGCCAUGCCGCGUGAAGGAUUAAGGUCCUCUGGAUUGUAAACUUCUUUUAUAAGGGACGAAAAAAGGCUUUUCUAAGUCGUCUGACGGUACCUUAUGAAUAAGCACCGGCUAACUCCGUGCCAGCAGCCGCGGUAAUACGGAGGGUGCAAGCGUUAUCCGGAUUCACUGGGUUUAAAGGGUGCGUAGGCGGGCAGGUAAGUCAGUGGUGAAAUCCUAGAGCUUAACUCUAGAACUGCCAUUGAUACUAUCUGUCUUGAAUAAUGUGGAGGUAAGCGGAAUAUGUCAUGUAGCGGUGAAAUGCUUAGAUAUGACAUAGAACACCUAUUGCGAAGGCAGCUUACUACGCAUAUAUUGACGCUGAGGCACGAAAGCGUGGGGAUCAAACAGGAUUAGAUACCCUGGUAGUCC
Molecule: ribosomal RNA, 445 nt
Filed under: uncultured bacterium
Lineage: Bacteria
Description: bacterial SSU rRNA
Rfam family: Bacterial small subunit ribosomal RNA
Source: RNAcentral